UUUUCUUAUCAAGAAAGAUUUUUUUCAAGAAUUUUCUUUUAUAUAUUUGAACAAUGGAAAUUGUGAUUUUGUUUGUCCUAUUAAUUUUUUUAAUUUCAUAAAUUGAGAAGGGAAAUGGGGAAUUUGUCAAGGAGACAGAUUUGGGAACGGCUCAUAAUAAGUCAAUGGUAUUUGGUAUGCAGUUGUAUUAGCAUUGGUACAUCUCAUUUACAUAGAGAUUGUUUAGCCAUAUAACUCGGUCAUGGUUCAUUGACUUUGAAUAUUGCAUAAAACUUGUGUAAGAU
RNAcentral lists this long non-coding RNA (284 nucleotides) under Mytilus galloprovincialis (Mediterranean mussel). Lineage: Eukaryota; Metazoa; Mollusca; Bivalvia; Mytilida; Mytilidae. The record is from RNAcentral.